CCUGGCGGCAAUAGCGCAGUGGAACCACCUGACCCCAUGCCGAACUCAGAAGUGAAACGCUGUAGCGCCGAUGGUAGUGUGGCAUUCGC
This 89-nucleotide ribosomal RNA is filed under the name Bacillus pumilus. The record is from RNAcentral. Lineage: Bacteria; Bacillati; Bacillota; Bacilli; Caryophanales; Bacillaceae.